AAACUUUAUGUUUUAUAUUAUCUUUAUUUUCGGAUUUUGAGGAUUAAGCAUAUUUGGAUUUUUUAAAAAAAAAUUAUUAUAUUUUAACCCGAACCGAACAUGUAAUGAUUCGAACCAAAUCAAACCAAAUUCAAACCAAAAUUAGUAAAUAUCCGAAUCAUAUUUAAAUUUCUAACUCUAAAAAUCCGAAUAGAUCAACUGAAUCCGAAUGUCCAUCUCUUGAAAAGCUAUAAGACAAAUAUCUUAUUACAACGUAAAAUAAAUAAUCUAAUUAGUUAUUUUUCUAUGCGCACGGCGCGGAUUAUUACCUAGUAGCAAAGUUAUUUCUCUAUCCCAUUCUCUCCAAACAAACAAUCACUAUAUCCAUAAUCGUCUCUAAUUGUUGUCAUGACAUUGACAAAACUGUUUUGUUCGUAUCUGUUCAUCUGAAUCUCCAUGUUUGUUCGCAGGUAGGAAUUAGUACACCUUGUGUUUUAUUAAGCAAGAAGUUAUAAAAUCAAAUAGUAAUUCUUAAAUUUGAUGCGUCUAGAUCCUUUAAGCAGAAUGAUUUAUAAGAAAACCAUUGAGACAAUUAUUUUGGGUCCACAAUAAAAAUAUGAUUCAAAUAUGAUUAGUUAGGUAGAAGAAUAGUUGAUUAGAUAUACGAUAAUAUAUCACUUAACAUCUAUCAUACAUUUUUAUUAGAAUUCUAGGUUUAGACACUUUAAAACUAAUCAUUUUAAAAUAGCAUAAACGCUCGUACGUUUAUGCAAAUAUAUACACUUAAAUCUACUUUUAUGCUCUUUUUAAAUUUUGUUUGUUUUUAGCUUUUUUGGCUUUGCCAAGUUCAAAUGGAACUGAUAUAAGAACAUGUAAUGUGACCUUGAAGCUUAACAAACCAUGCAGUUUUCAAGAAUGCCAAGCACCUUGUAUUCAGAACUACAAGGGGACUGGCAUUUGUAUCGGGGAAAAACAACAGUAUUUGCAGUUGCGUUUACAGUUAUAUAUUAGUAUGGCCGAAGAUCUUGGGCCUUCAUAGCUUCACUUUUCAGAGAAGGUAUAAAAGUGACCGUUAUCCAAGUUUUCGGCCUUGAGCUCUACGACAUUGUUACAGUUAAAUCAUUCUUGAUGCUAACCCAAUUUACAAAAUUUUUGUAAAUAGUCGAUUUUAAUCCAAUUUCGAUUAGCAAUGUCACUGGAUAAAAAAAAAACUUUUGUAAGAACUAGCCUUGUGAAAACUAAUUGAUGUGACCAGUGUUUUAUGUUUCUAUCCGUUAUGAAGACUACUUUGUUUCAGGUUAAUAAAAUAUGAUGAUGAUAAAAAGCGUUAUACAAAAAAGAAGAUAAUAUUUGACACAAAUAUUUUUAAAAUCAAUACUAUUAAAAUAGAAAGCCUUUUUUUGAGAUACCCUUGUGUUUUAACAAAAUUUACAAUUCUCUGCCACUUGCCACUGGCUUAAUUUAAAACCAAUGUUUUUAUUUAAUUAUAGUUAAUAUAUUAAUAACCUCUAUUAAUUAAUACAUAAUAAACGGUACAUUGAAAUUAGGCUAUGGCGAUGGCAAUGGCGAUGGCGACUUCUUUGGGAUCUCUGGAUUUUGGUUUCAAUUUAUGGUGAAUCUCAAUCUAUACGGUUUCGAUGUCAGUUCUUUCUGUAAGCAUCGAUGAGGUUUUUUUUAUUCUGGUGUUGAUGGGUGUAUGGGUCUAAUGGGUGAUUUCGGAACAAUCUUCUUCGAUUCCACUCCAGUCUGGUUUAAUUUUAGGACAAAACAGAGUUCCAAGGAUAUGCUAUCUGACUGCUUAUUGAAUGGAGUUUGUUGGAAAGAGAAGGUAUGCAAUAUGGUUUUGGAUGGUUGGUAUUUUCUGGGGAUGACAGAAGAAAACGGACAAACAUAUAGAUGGUGUGAUUGCUUCUGGGAUCCAACGGUGCACAACUUUGAGAAAUUCUCGAUUGAAAAAGAGGAUACAUCAGAGAAUAUGGAUGUGAACUUCAAAGUGUCCUGAAGAAUAUAGGUGGUUGGGAGCUGCAGUCUGUUUCAAGAGGCGUGAAUAAAGUUGCCUUUAUGAUUGCUAGGAGUGUUACGAUGUUAACAUAUAAUGUAGUCGUACGUUCCUCAAGGUGAACAGGUUUGGCUAAGGACUGCUGUAGCUGUGGAUAGGUUGUGGAGUGAAGAGGUUAAAGAUCCUAUAGUGUGUUUUGGAUCUUUCGACAUGAAUGAGCUUCAGGCUCUGUUUAUGUCUUUAUCUUUCAUAUUUUUUUUGGUUGGUUUUGGUUUUGUACGAUACUGUGGUUCCUAUUGCAAUUCAUUCUCAGAGUUUAAAAAAAAAAAAGAAAUAGAACUAUUUGUAUUUUUGUAUUAAGGUUUAGUGUUGAAAGGUUUCUAUCUUCGAGA
Brassica napus (rape) is the source of this 2370-nucleotide long non-coding RNA. RefSeq lists it as uncharacterized. The record is from RefSeq and is a predicted model, not a curated record. Lineage: Eukaryota; Viridiplantae; Streptophyta; Magnoliopsida; Brassicales; Brassicaceae. The transcript is spliced from 2 exons.